RNAcentral lists this ribosomal RNA (775 nucleotides) under uncultured Neocallimastigales. Its description in RNAcentral is "partial large subunit ribosomal RNA". It matches the Rfam family "Eukaryotic large subunit ribosomal RNA", at positions 26 to 643 of the family's 3401-position model. Lineage: Eukaryota; Fungi; Neocallimastigomycota; Neocallimastigomycetes; Neocallimastigales. The record is from RNAcentral.
CGUCUAUAUACGUAUAGCAUAUCAAUAAGCGGAGGAAAAGAAACUAACAAGGAUUCCCUUAGUAACGGCGAGUGAAGCGGGAAGAGCUCAAAUUUGAAAUCUUCAAGGUUCUACCUUGACGAAUUGUAGUUUAUAGAAGUGUUUUCUGUUAGUGGAGUGGCAAAAGUUCUUUGGAAUAGGACAUCAUAGAGGGUGAGAAUCCCGUAUAUUGGUCAUUCCUCCUAGCGUUGUGAUACACUUUCAACGAGUCGGAUUGUUUGGGAAUGCAGUCCAAAAUGGGUGGUAAAUUUCAUCUAAAGCUAAAUAUUGGCGAGAGACCGAUAGCGAACAAGUACCGUGAGGGAAAGAUGAAAAGAACUUUGAAAAGAGAGUUAAACAGUACGUGAAAUUGUCAAAAGGGAAGCGUUUGACACCAGUGUUGUUUUUCCGAAAAUCAAUUACGAAUGUUUUAUUUUUGAGGAGUUAUGACUUCAUCGGCUUGCUCCUUUCUUUAUGAAACUUUCUUAAUGCACUUUUCGGUUAACAAGUCAACAUCAAUUUCUUUUGUUGUAAAAGGGUAUGAGGAAGGUGGCUUUCUUUUCGGAGAAAGUGUUUAUAGCCUUGUGCCUCUGCAAUCGGAGAGAUUGAGGUCUGCAGCGUAGAUCCUUCGGGGUUAGAUACGUUUGUGCUAAGUUAUAGCUUUUCAUAGACAACUUGUUGACUAUGUUUAGUCUUGUAGCUUACUCGCUGAUGCUAUUUUACCUACGCUUAGGAUGUUGAUAUGCAUGACUGAUAU